CAGCUAUAUCACUCUCUGUCCCUUGGAUCCCUGCUCACUCAAGUUGCGCAGGGGGAAAAUGGCAGUACUCAUUCAGCUGGCUUUGUUUUCUGCGGUUCUUGCAGGUGUCCAAUCUCAGGUAAAACUGGAGGAGUCUGGAGGGGAUGUGAAAAGACCCGGGGAAUCCCUCCGCCUCUCCUGUCGGGCCUCCGGCUUCACCUUCAGCAGCUACGGCAUGAACUGGGUGCGACAGGCCCCGGGGAAGGGACUGGAAUGGAUUGCAAUUAUCUGGUAUGACGGGAGCCAGCAAUACUAUGCAGACAAGGUGAAGGGGCGAUUCACCAUCUCCAGAGACAACCCCUCCAACAUGCUGUACCUGCAAAUGAACAACCUGAAAGCUGAGGACACAGCUGUGUAUUACUGUGCAAGAGACACAUUGGGAGGAAAUGAAUCUGAAGCCUGGCAAAAACCCAGCCUCAUUUGGCAGCUCUCUGGGGAGAAGCAGCUGCAGUUCAUUGAGUCAGAUUAUUAA
Molecule: non-coding RNA, 511 nt
Organism: Varanus komodoensis (Komodo dragon)
Lineage: Eukaryota; Metazoa; Chordata; Lepidosauria; Squamata; Varanidae
Source: the annotation of a RefSeq genome assembly